RNAcentral lists this ribosomal RNA (386 nucleotides) under uncultured bacterium. RNAcentral describes it as "bacterial SSU rRNA". It matches the Rfam family "Bacterial small subunit ribosomal RNA", at positions 28 to 415 of the family's 1533-position model. The record is from RNAcentral.
GACAAACGCUGGCGGCGUGCUUAACACAUGCAAGUCGAACGGUCUUCUUUAGGGAAGAUAGUGGCGGACGGGUGAGUAACACGUAGUUAACCUGCCUUUAGGUGGGGAAUAACUCCUCGAAAGAGGAGCUAAUACCGCAUACGCUCUCUGUUGAUAGAUAGAGAGGAAACCUUAGGAGCAAUCCUUGGGGGCCGAAAGAGGGGACUGCGGCGGAUUAGCUAGAUGGUGGGGUAAAGCCUACCANGGCGACGAUCCGUAGCUGGUCUGAGAGGACGACCAGUCACACUGGAACUGAGACACGGUCCAGACACCUACGGGUGGCAGCAGUCGAGAAUUUUCUCAAUGGGCGCAAGCCUGAAGGAGCGACGCCGCGUGGGGAUGAAGGG